This 305-nucleotide unclassified non-coding RNA is filed under the name uncultured Lycoperdon. RNAcentral's name for it is "sequence contains ITS2". The stretch from base 1 to 52 matches the Rfam family "5.8S ribosomal RNA", at positions 103 to 154 of the family's 154-position model. Lineage: Eukaryota; Fungi; Basidiomycota; Agaricomycetes; Agaricales; Lycoperdaceae. The record is from RNAcentral.
AACGCACCUUGCGCUCCUUGGUAUUCCGAGGAGCAUGCCUGUUUGAGUGUCAUUAAAUUCUCAACCCCUCCAGCUUUUGCGAGUUGUGAUGGGGCUUGGAUAUGGGAGUUUGCGGGUCUUUAUCAAUAAAGGUCAGCUCUCCUGAAAUGCAUUAGCGGAACCGUUUGCAGUCCCGUCACUAGUGUGAUAAUUAUCUACACUGUGAUGAUUGCUCUCUGACUAGUUCAGCUGCUAAUCGUCCACUAUGGACAACACUUAAUGAACUUCUUGACCUCAAAUCAGGUAGGACUACCCGCUGAACUUAA